RNAcentral lists this ribosomal RNA (1404 nucleotides) under Curtobacterium luteum. RNAcentral's name for it is "bacterial SSU rRNA". It matches the Rfam family "Bacterial small subunit ribosomal RNA". Lineage: Bacteria; Bacillati; Actinomycetota; Actinomycetes; Micrococcales; Microbacteriaceae. The record is from RNAcentral.
UUGCUGGGUGGAUUAGUGGCGAACGGGUGAGUAACACGUGAGUAACCUGCCCCUGACUCUGGGAUAAGCGUUGGAAACGACGUCUAAUACUGGAUAGGACUACUGGCCGCAUGGUCUGGUGGUGGAAAGAUUUUUUGGUUGGGGAUGGACUCGCGGCCUAUCAGCUUGUUGGUGAGGUAAUGGCUCACCAAGGCGACGACGGGUAGCCGGCCUGAGAGGGUGACCGGCCACACUGGGACUGAGACACGGCCCAGACUCCUACGGGAGGCAGCAGUGGGGAAUAUUGCACAAUGGGCGAAAGCCUGAUGCAGCAACGCCGCGUGAGGGAUGACGGCCUUCGGGUUGUAAACCUCUUUUAGUAGGGAAGAAGCGCAAGUGACGGUACCUGCAGAAAAAGCACCGGCUAACUACGUGCCAGCAGCCGCGGUAAUACGUAGGGUGCAAGCGUUGUCCGGAAUUAUUGGGCGUAAAGAGCUCGUAGGCGGUUUGUCGCGUCUGCUGUGAAAUCCCGAGGCUCAACCUCGGGCUUGCAGUGGGUACGGGCAGACUAGAGUGCGGUAGGGGAGAUUGGAAUUCCUGGUGUAGCGGUGGAAUGCGCAGAUAUCAGGAGGAACACCGAUGGCGAAGGCAGAUCUCUGGGCCGUAACUGACGCUGAGGAGCGAAAGCGUGGGGAGCGAACAGGAUUAGAUACCCUGGUAGUCCACGCCGUAAACGUUGGGCGCUAGAUGUAGGGACCUUUCCACGGUUUCUGUGUCGUAGCUAACGCAUUAAGCGCCCCGCCUGGGGAGUACGGCCGCAAGGCUAAAACUCAAAGGAAUUGACGGGGGCCCGCACAAGCGGCGGAGCAUGCGGAUUAAUUCGAUGCAACGCGAAGAACCUUACCAAGGCUUGACAUACACCGGAAACGGCCAGAGAUGGUCGCCCCCUUGUGGUCGGUGUACAGGUGGUGCAUGGUUGUCGUCAGCUCGUGUCGUGAGAUGUUGGGUUAAGUCCCGCAACGAGCGCAACCCUCGUUCUAUGUUGCCAGCGCGUUAUGGCGGGGACUCAUAGGAGACUGCCGGGGUCAACUCGGAGGAAGGUGGGGAUGACGUCAAAUCAUCAUGCCCCUUAUGUCUUGGGCUUCACGCAUGCUACAAUGGCCGGUACAAAGGGCUGCGAUACCGUAAGGUGGAGCGAAUCCCAAAAAGCCGGUCUCAGUUCGGAUUGAGGUCUGCAACUCGACCUCAUGAAGUCGGAGUCGCUAGUAAUCGCAGAUCAGCAACGCUGCGGUGAAUACGUUCCCKGGCCUUGUACACACCGCCCGUCAAGUCAUGAAAGUCGGUAACACCCGAAGCCGGUGGCCUAACCCUUGUGGAAGGAGCCGUCGAAAGGUGGGAUCGGUGAUUAGGACUAAGUCGUAACAG